This 259-nucleotide long non-coding RNA is filed under the name Carica papaya (papaya). RNAcentral's name for it is "long non-coding RNA (CPAP_LNC012974)". Lineage: Eukaryota; Viridiplantae; Streptophyta; Magnoliopsida; Brassicales; Caricaceae. The record is from RNAcentral.
GAGUUUUUCCCUUUUUCUUGCUUAUUUUCCUCUUGCACUGGGGUGAAUAGUAUAUACUAUUAUACCCUUGGAUUAAUGGCCUUGUUGUAAUCUUUUAGUUAUACCCCUUGUAAUGGGCCCACUUGGCAUUGAGAUAUCCUUUCCACCAACUUGAUAAAUGUCCAUGCUCAGAUCACAUUAUAUGUCCACACUCUAAUGAAAAACUAUUAUAAUGAAAGAAGUGGCUCUUCAUAACUUUUAUGUAUAUAUGUAUUUUGGC